This 194-nucleotide RNase P RNA is filed under the name Arenicellales bacterium. RNAcentral describes it as "partial RNase P RNA component class A". It matches the Rfam family "Bacterial RNase P class A", at positions 159 to 367 of the family's 367-position model. From Rfam's summary of the family: Ribonuclease P (RNase P) is a ubiquitous endoribonuclease, found in archaea, bacteria and eukarya as well as chloroplasts and mitochondria. Its best characterised activity is the generation of mature 5'-ends of tRNAs by cleaving the 5'-leader elements of precursor-tRNAs. Cellular RNase Ps are ribonucleoproteins. The record is from RNAcentral. Lineage: Bacteria; Pseudomonadati; Pseudomonadota; Gammaproteobacteria; Arenicellales.
AUGGUGCGGUAAGAGCGCACCGCGUUCGUGGUAACACGAACGGCAGGGUAAACCCCACCUGGAGCAAGACCAAAUAGGAAUCCAAUGGUGCGGCCCGCAUCGGAUUCGGGUAGGUCGCGAGAGUCACGCGGUGACGUGUGAUCGAGAUGAAUGGUCGCCUUCGACAGAACCCGGCUUACAGGCCGACUCCCCAC